AGUGAACGCUGGCGGUAGGCCUGACACAUGCAAGUCGAACGGCAGCACAGUAAGAGCUUGCUCUUACGGGUGGCGAGUGGCGGACGGGUGAGGAAUACAUCGGAAUCUACUUUUUCGUGGGGGAUAACGUAGGGAAACUUACGCUAAUACCGCAUACGACCUACGGGUGAAAGCAGGGGAUCUUCGGACCUUGCGCGAUUGAAUGAGCCGAUGUCGGAUUAGCUAGUUGGCGGGGUAAAGGCCCACCAAGGCGACGAUCCGUAGCUGGUCUGAGAGGAUGAUCAGCCACACUGGAACUGAGACACGGUCCAGACUCCUACGGGAGGCAGCAGUGGGGAAUAUUGGACAAUGGGCGCAAGCCUGAUCCAGCCAUACCGCGUGGGUGAAGAAGGCCUUCGGGUUGUAAAGCCCUUUUGUUGGGAAAGAAAAACAGCAGGUUAAUACCCCGCUGUUCUGACGGUACCCAAAGAAUAAGCACCGGCUAACUUCGUG
Molecule: ribosomal RNA, 492 nt
Filed under: uncultured bacterium
Lineage: Bacteria
Description: partial 16S ribosomal RNA
Rfam family: Bacterial small subunit ribosomal RNA
Source: RNAcentral